GCGGGCCGCUGCUCCUCACCGGGGCCGGGAGAAGACGCCCCCCGCACCCCCCACUACUUCGUCCUCUCAAUUCAAGUUGUCCGGGCCUCGCCGCCGCCGGGAUCCGGGGAUGGCACCAGCUGCCCGCUCAGCUCUGCGUCCUGUUUCCAGCCUCCAAGCAGAAAUUUAGGUCAAGGACGUCGAGAGCAAACCCACGCCCUGGCGCUCUUCGGGCGGCCCCCGACACCCCCCACCCCAGGAUCGGGAUGGACGGGGGACUUCAGAAUGGCGAAGAACCCCUCGCACGAACACCAGCCACAAGUUUUAUUUCGCCUUCGAGCUGCAAGUUCGGCGCUCGCUCCACACCGGCACGUCGUGCGCGGCUCCCCGCCCUUACCCUCGGAGGAUUAGGAGACAGUGGUAUACACUCAACACCAAACUGCACCAAAUCCGUCGUGGGUCCUAGAAACGUGGAACUUUGGAAAAUCUCAACACCAGCCAAAGCCCUGGAUGACCAGCCCCUCAACUUCCCUGUCCUUUAAACUGAGAUAAGACCUCCCUGACAGGAUGGCUGAGGGGGGGUGAAGUGUUAGAAGUGAACAAGUUUUACACUGCGAACUUACACGGAUCACUUUCAUUACCGAUCAUUACUUAAAAUGAUUCUUUAGAGAAGGCACUUGAAGGCUUUAAACCGCAAACCCAAGCACUUAAGGUCCCUCUGAGCUGCUUUUCACAUCAUUGGGGCGGGGGGGGGUCUUAUGUGUUGAAUAGCCAGUUGUUACAAUGAUAAUUGUUCUGGUUUUUCUCAGUAAUAACGUGCACACAACACAGCUAAUUGCACUGUUUUCAGAUUUUUACACCACCACAGGACCUUCUUAGUUCAUUGUACUUCAGGGUCUCAGAGGUGCCAAGUUUACAAGUUCUAUCUCCCCUAUCCCCACCCCAAGCCAAUUACUGGAAGGGGCUGGAGCCACCAGUCCAGUGCUGUUUUUUCUGCUGCCUGCGUGUUUGCUCUGGCCCUCAAAAGGUUGACAGUGGGUGCCCUUCUCCCUGGAAUAGGCCUACACAAGCCUACCCGUGGUGAGAUCAAUGAAACUCUGAGGACUGGCCCUGAGGUGACCGAGUCAGUGGCUGAGAGAGGCCUACAUUGAAGUCUGACAUGGCUAAAGUUUUUUUCAUUUAUUUUUAUUUUAUACUUAGUGACAUUACAGCCCUAGACUUCAUCUUGCUGUGUAAUUCUGCGUUUGGACAAAUGCACAGGAUCGUGUAACCACCACCAGGAGGAUCAAGAUGCAGAACAAUUUCACUGUCUCAAGAAAUGUCCUCUUGCUGUUCCUUCCACUAAGUUAUUUAUACUAGAUUAUUAUUAGUACCGUGUACUUGCCAGCUCACUCAGUGUAGUCCCUGCAUCAGGAGGAUCCCCCAGCAUAGUGGUAGACCUAUCUCUCUCAGUCUCAACACUGGUGGACAGGCCUGUCUGCAGACUGCUUUCCCCAGGGCGCCACACAUCUGGUUUCCUUCAUCCCUCACCAGCCCUUCCUCCUUUUGUCUCUAUUCUGUAUCUCUCCUCUUCUGUUCUGAAUUCAUCUCUCCUCUUCGGCCUCUCCUUUUCUCUUUCUUUUUUCUUUUUUUUUUUUUUUUUUUUUUUUUUUUUUUUUUUUUUUCAGUUUCCUGGAUCAAACUCCUCCGAACUUUGUGCUUGCAAGGCAGGCAACAGCACCACUGAGCUAAAUUGUCUUGAUCCCUCUUUUCUCCUCCAGGUACAAACCUUCCCUGGGUGUGAAUUUUGGUGUAAUGAGUUUAGCUUCUUUUUUUUUUUUGGUACCGGGGAUCAAACUCAGGACCUUGCGCUUGUGAGGCAGGCGACAGAGCCACUGAGCUAAAUUCCCGGCCCCUUGGAAUGGGUUUAAAUACCUCCUACAUACGGAUGCCACCCUAAAUCUCCAGCCCUGACCUUUCCAAAGAGUUCCAGACACAGCUCAGUUUCUUGUUCGGCAUCUCCAUGUAACUCCUAAAAGUUCUCCAAAUCCAAAUGUCCAAAACCACAUGCAUGCUCCCUUGCCUUAAAUCUGAAUCUCUUUUAGGGUUCCUCUGUCAGUUAACCAUCCCCCGUCAAAGGAGACAGCAAGAGCCAGGUGUGGUGGCGCAUGCCUGUAAUCCCAGCACUCAGGAGGCUGAGGCAGGAGGAUCACUGUGAGUUCGAGACCAGCCUGGGCUACACAGUGAGUUCUAGGUCAGUCUCAACUACAUAGUGAGACCCUGUCUCAAAAAACCAAAAAGGAGACAGCAAGGUUGAGCCCUCUCCCUCACCCUGCGAUGGCAAGACCAUGGGGAUGUCACCUCUUCAGCAUCCCUCCAGUCUAUCUUUCUGUGCUUCAUCCCAGAUCACCCAGCCCGAGGCCCUGCGGUAGCCUCCAAAACAGUCUUCCCACGUCUCAGUCCACUCACGUGCCUGGAGAGCUUUCCCAAAGCCUGGCCCUGGUCAGCCGCCCUCGAUACACACUGUUAACCUGCCAGAGUGUCCUCUGUGUACCUUGCCCUCUAUGAUCAUUGGCUUUAUUUCCCACCUUCCAAGCCGCAGGUUCCCAUCCACUGUUGCUCUCCCUGUGCCAGCACAGUGCCUGCUGGUGCGUGGGUGACCCCCGAUAAAUAAUUGCUGAGUGGAUGGAUGAAUGGAGGUCAGCAUCUAAUUUCAUUCUAGGAUUUUUUUUUUUUUUUGUAUCCAUGUUGGUGAGUCAAACUGGCUGCAAUUUCCCCUUUCACGGUGUUUUUAUUUGGUUCCACAGGCCUCCUAAAGUGAACUGGUAACAUGUUCCUUCUUUUUCAUUUUCCAGGACAGUGUGUGUUAGAUUGGAAUUAUGUGUUCCUUGAAUAUUUGGUAGCACUUGCCAAUAAAAUGUCUGAGUCUGGGAAAGCCAUUUCACAGGUUGAUUUUUAACUACUCAUUCUAUUUCCUUAAUAGUUAAGGAUCUCUUCAGCUUUUCUAUUUUCUUUUUUAGUCCAUUUUUGCCCACUAUAUUUUUCAAGCAAAUUAUCCACAGGAUCUAGUUUUUCAAAUAUACUGAUAAAGUCGGGCAUGGUGACACACACCUGUAAUCCCAGCACUCCGGAGGCUGAGGCAGGAGGAUCGCUGUGAGUUCAAGACCAGCCUGGGCUACAUAAUGAUUUCCACGUCAGUCUCAACUACAUAGUGAGACCCUGUCUCAAAAAAAAUCAAAUAUACUGACAAAAUGCAGUUCACAGUUGUUACUAUAUUUUGAUCUCUGAGGUCUUUAUCCACAAUGUCCCUUUUUUAAAUCCCAAAUA
This is a long non-coding RNA of Fukomys damarensis (Damara mole-rat), 3285 nucleotides long. The record is from Ensembl. Lineage: Eukaryota; Metazoa; Chordata; Mammalia; Rodentia; Bathyergidae.